RNAcentral lists this transfer RNA (72 nucleotides) under Ovis aries (sheep). It matches the Rfam family "tRNA". From Rfam's summary of the family: Transfer RNA (tRNA) molecules are approximately 80 nucleotides in length. Their secondary structure includes four short double-helical elements and three loops (D, anti-codon, and T loops). The record is from Rfam by way of RNAcentral. Lineage: Eukaryota; Metazoa; Chordata; Mammalia; Artiodactyla; Bovidae.
UCUCUGGUGUUUAGUGGCUAAGACUCUGCACUCCCAAUGCAGGGGGCCUGGGUUCAAUCCCUGGUCAGGGAA